AGAAUUAGGAGGUGGGGUGGUUGGGAGGGGAUUAGCUCAUGAGGGUGGAGCCCUCAUGAAUGGGAUUAGUGCCCUUAUAAAAGAGGCUCCAGAGAGCUGUUUAGCCCUUUUUCUGCCAUUGUGCAGUCUGCAGUCUGGAAGAGAAUCCUCAGCAGAACCUGACUGUGCCAGCACCAUGAUUUCAGACUUUCAGCCUCCAGAAUUGUGAGAAGUAAAUGUUUGUUUUUUAAGCCACCUAGUCUAUGGUGAUUUGUUAUAGCAGCCCAAACUAAGACAGAGGAUAUGGCAUCAAACUGCUGAAUCACUGGUGAUGUUAAUCUUGAUUAGUUGGUGAAGACUUGGCAAGAUAGCUCUGGAAGAUAGCUCCAGCUCAGGAAGAAGACCCUGCAGCCCAUUUCCUUUCAAAAGGCAGAGAUGAACAUUUUCCCUGGCCGUCUUGAAAUACACCAAUAUGUUUGGAAAUAAAGAGACUUGGCUUCCUGGUCCUGCUCUAAGAUGGGAGCUUAAACCUAUGGAAUGUGACACCACUUUGGGCAAAAACAGAAUUCUUAGCAAAGAAAUCAUUGAUGUUAAGGUGCUGGAAAAGAUAGGCUGCAAAAGAUAGGCUUGCACCAUGAAGCUCUAACUCCAUUAGAGAAGACACACAUUUAGCCAUCACAAGGUGGUAUGGACACUUAAAGGUCUCCAUUUACUUGAUCAAAAAGUCUAGGAGAGGGGUCAGCAAACUAGACUUUCUUUCCAUAAAAGGCUGGAUAGUAAAUAUCGUAGGCUUUGGUGCCACAUAGACUAUGACAACUACUCAACUCUACCUUCAUAUUUUGAAAGCACUCAUAGACAAUGUUUAAACAAUUGGCAUGUUCCAAUAAAACUUUAUGGACACUGAGCUUUGAAUUUCCUAUACAGUUUCCCACCGAAUAACAAUGUUUGGGUCAAGAAGGGACUGUAUUAUACAACAGCGAUCUCAUAAGAUUAUAACGAAGUUCAAAAAUUCUUAUCACCCAGUGUUUACCAUACUUUUAAAAUUUAUUUUAUAGUCUAUUCCUUCUACUUAUUUUAAAAGUUAACUGUAAACAGUCCCAAGCAGGUCGUUCAGGAGAAGGUAUUCCAGAGGAAGGCAUAGUUAUCAUAGGAGAUGACAGCUCCAUGCGUAUUAUCGUCUCUGAAGGCCUUUAGUGGAGCAAGAUGUAGAAGUGGAAGGCAGUCACAGUGAUGAUCCUGACCCUGGGCAGGCCUAGGCUAAUGUAUGUGUUUGUGUCAUAGUUUUUAACAAAAGCCUUAAAAAGUUAAAAAUAGAAAAACGCUUAUAGAAAAGGGAUAUAAAGAAUAAAACUAUUCUUGUUCAGCAGUGCAAUGUGUUUGCAUUUUAAGCUAAGUGUUAUUACAAAAGAAUCAAUAAGUUAAGAUUAAAAAGUUUAUAAAAUAAAAUAGUUAUAGUAAGCUAAGGUCAAUUAUUAUUGAAGAAAGAAAAAUACUUUUGUAUAAAUUUAGUGUAGUUUCUGUAUACAGUGUGUAUAAAGUCUAUCAUAGUGUACAGUAAUGUCCUAGGCCUUCACAUUCGCUCACCACUCACUGACUCACCCAGAGCACCUUCCAGUUCUGCAAGCUCCAUUCCCAGUAAGUGUCCUAUAUAGGUGUAUUAUCUUUUACCUUUUAUGCUGUAUUUUUACUGACCUCUCUUAUGUUUAGAUACAUAAAUACUUACUAUAUUAUGGUUGCCUAUAGUAUUUAGUACAAUAACAUACUGUACAGGUUUGUAGUCUAGGUGUGUAGGAGGCUGUCCCAUCUAAGUUUAUGUAAGUACACACCCCAAUGUUUGCUCAAUGGUGAGAUCACCUAAUGAUGCAUUUCUCAGAAUAUAUUCUUAUCGUUAAGAGAUGCAUGACUGUACUUUGCGUAUAUCAUAAAAUCUUUUCCUUCUGAUUCUUUUCAACCAUUUAAAAAUGUAAAAAUCAUGCUUUGCUGAUAGUCACAGGGCAUUAGAGAAGAUCUAAGGAAAGAGCAUCUAAACUGAGAGCUGGGGAGAAGUAAAAUUAAUCAAGGGCAAGUUUGGAGGAGGGGUGAAUUAGAGCAUACUCCUAGUUGAAGUUCCCUGAGGAGCAAUAGAAAAAUUUGCACAAAAGGCCAGCUGUGAUGGCUCACACCUGUAAUCCCAGCACUUUGGGAGGCAGAGGUGGGUGGAUAGCUUGAGGUCAGGAGUUUGAGACCAGUGUGGUCAAUGUGGCAAAACCCCGUCUCUGAAAAUACAAAAAUUAGCCAGGCGUGGUGGUACAUGCCUGUAAUUCCAGUUACUCGGGAGGCUGAAGCAGGAGAAUUGCAUGAACUUGGGAGGCAGAGGUUGCAGUGAGCUAAGAUCAUGCCACUGCACUCCAGCCUGAGGGACACAGCAAGACUCCGUAUCAAAAAAAAAAAAAAAAAAAAAAGUUCACUCUGUUGAAGCUUUCUACCCUUAAUAAAAGCAGUUCAGGAUAUACAUAGCAAGGGGAAACUUUUUUGUAACUUUCAAAUCACACAACACAUGUGACCACCUAAGUUGACUACCAGGAAGACUGGACUGACUAUAUACGCUGAGUGUAAUUUUCAUUGUAUUGCAUUUGCCUGAAGGCCUGUGAAAGCCACAAAUGAUUACCUUAUUUUCUUGCUACUUUGGCAAAGCAGAUAUAUUAGUGCAGAAAAUAUGAGAUCACAAGUGUGUGUUCAUUUAACAAUGCUUUGGCAAUAUAAGUUCCAGUUGUCCUUUAGCUCCAUUGGUACAAUUUUUUGUAACAUUGGACAAGUCACUUUCCUUCCUUUACGUCUCCAUUGGUACCCGCUAAGUAAAACCAAUAUCUACCAUCAAGUCCACCAUAGUUAUCCUAAAGCACACAAAAUAUUCUGCCAUGCAUAUCAAAAGAAAAUCCUCAAUUUUAGAGACACUAGAUAAGUAUGUAUCUAAGAGUAAACAUUCAUAUUGUACAAAGAAUAAAUUAAUUCAAAUUCUGAUUUUAAAAAAAUUCCUGGAGGAUGGCUUGAGGCCAGGAGUUUGAGACCAGCAUUGGCAUCAUGGUAAGACUCCCAUCUCUACAAAAAAAAAAAAAAAAAAAUUAGCCAGGCAUGAGGGCAUGUGCCUGUAGUCCUAGCUACACAGGAGGUUGAGGAAGGAGGAUCACUUGAUCCCAGGGGUAUAAAGCUAUAAGCUAUCAUCGAGCCACUGAAUUCUAGCCUGGGCAACAGAGUGAGAUCCUGUCUCUAAAAAAUUAAAUUAAAUUAAAAAAUUAAAAGUUACUGAGUGUGGUGUUGUAUAUUUGAAAAUACGAUAUGGUUUUCACUAUUUGGCUGCUCUCAAAACACGUGCAUUUGGAAGCCAUGGUUUUUUCAGUUUCUUUUUAAACUGAUGUGGAAAAUAAAGUAGAUUAAUAACAUUCAAUUUUAAUCAAUAUCAAAUUUGUUCCAUGUGCUAAAAUGCAAGAUAAUCUAGCAAAAAAUAGUGAGCAUGUAUUUGGUGCUGGGUUCAAUACUUGAGUGGAGAUAAGGCAAAAAGAUUUUCCUGCUAAUCAAGCCAGCACUGUGUGCUUGCAAUAUUAAUUUAACAUAACCACAGUAACUAAAGUGUUAAGUGCUAUCAAGGGUUUGAAUCCACAAAGGUUAGUAAAUAAAUAAAUAAAGCAGCCCUUCUGCUCAUUAGGAAGCCAUCCAAAGCCCGGAAGAGAGAAUCAAGUUCCUAAUUUAUGAGUCAGCCACUUAAAAAAAAAAAAAAAAAAAAAAAAAAAAAAGAGUCAAAGCUAACACACUCAUUCCAACAGCUUUUCCCAUGCUGGUCUUUCUGGAAAGAUAAAUUCCUGCAGGAUUAUUUUUUGGAAUUACUACCAGUAAGUUCUAUUAUACUGUCAGACCUAGAAAAAAUUAUUUCACUAGGACUUCAAACAUGAGAUUGAAUAAAUGAUUAUGGCAAAUUGUUGUUCCUAAUUAAUUAAAAUGAUUUAUAUGGCAUGCUGUGUAACUGAAGAAUGCAAAAAGUGAAAAAAAAGAAUGUCUUUGUAGUAAAGUAGAUUUGUGUAAGUGGAAUAAAAGCAUAAGAAUAAGCUUCCAUGAGCGAGUUCUACAACUGAGUCAUCUAUUUAGCCUUCAUUUUUGGCAGCAUCAUUGACCAGUGAGCAGGGAUUUACCAGAAAAUUGUUGACCACAAUAAUCAAAUUUUGCAACAAAAAUUCACAGAUUGGACGUCAUGCCGUUGACUAUAUAAGACAAGUUAGAAGACACAAUCUAUUUUGCUUUUGAUUCUCAAAAGCAACAGUUUGUUUUAUGCUUUUAAAAUUCCCCAUUAAAAUAACUUCUGAUUCUAUUCUCAUUGUCUCUUUUGCUCCUGGUUCCCUUCCUUCACCUCCCCUCCUGCUCCCUCCAAUUCUGACCCACUGUGGUCUCCUGGCAUUGUUCUGACAUUUGCCUGGCAGAACAUAAAACAACAAAUAUGUUCAAUUUGAGUGGUUUCCUGCAAUGUUAUUCUAUCAAACUGGCAAUUUCCGAAAGGAUUUAGAAAGGAGCAUACAAUUCCUCAGACACCGGGAGGUCUGACAGUGACUGCCAAAACAGUCCAUGCUUUUAGCGGGCCGUAAUAUCUGAGCACACAAAAACAUCCCUUUUUCUCAGGUUUAUUUUUUAUGCUUAAUACCGAACAGACUUCAGAGACUUUCUAAGUGGCCAGAGAGUACUAUAUUUAGCACCUUAAAACUCAAAGGAGUUUAGAAUAUUUUGAUAUGCAUGGUGCAUGGAGAUCCAAUUUAUUCUACAGCAGUCACCUAUGGUAAUGAAAUGUUAAUCAAGAUAUUUAAAUUACAGCUAAUGGAAUGAUGGCAUCGUAUAAGGACCAGAUGUAAAAUUCAUUACCAUAGGCUCUGUUUAUUCCCUGUAUAGUCAUUUCCUGCUCCCCUCACCCAACAUUUGACAUUUCCAAGAUGGUGGCAGCUUUGGAAAUUUUAUGAUUUGAUUGUGGUUUGGCUUGAGUUCAAAUUAUAGGGUCUGAAUUUGAUCAAAUUAGACAACUAAUGCCUCAGGCAGGAACAGUGCAUGCCAAUGUCAAUGGUGUUAAGAUGUACUAUAGCAUUAACUUGAGACAGAAUACUGCAAACCCUUAUGGUUCAUAAUACUUCAUGUCCACAAACUAUCCUUAAAACUAUAAUAGAUGGAUGUGGCCUGUGAUGUAUUAUUAUUAUUUCAGCUCUUGGAGGGCUGAAAUCUUUUGAUCCAGAAACAUGGACUUCUUGUGAGUCAAUUCAUUUGUGUUCACCAAUGUGUACAGCAACCACAUCCUUAACCCUCCCUCCUCUGCAAAAGCAGCAUUGUUGAGGAGUCAUGGUGGCAUGCUUGUGUGACUUGUCUCAUACUCUACUGCAGUUAUUGUAUUCAUUCUUCCAUUUCAUGUCAAAUUCUGGCACUGUGUUAAAAGACAUUCCAGUGUAGUUUUUGCUUUAAAACAAGAGAAAUGAGUUUAUAGAUUCCUGCUCAGAAGAUAUUUGAAUAAACAAAUCCUUACAUUUUUAUCUUUGAUGAAAACUCAUCUUGUUUUAUUUCCCUUAUGCAGGCUGUCUCAUAUCCUAAAAUUCAGCAAGCACAAGGGACACAGUCUUUGGGCUUCAUGCAGUGUGACAACAUGGCCUUUUGGCAAAACAUCCUAGCACCAGGCAGUGUCCUAAAUAAUGCCUUGUAAGUAGUUGUAAGCCCUUAGCUCUGGAAGGGCUUCCAUAACUGUGUCCUCUCUCAAACUUCUGAGGUCCUGGGAGCUAGUAGAGUAAGGAAAGAUGUUUAGUUUCCCUGCCUGACAGCACCCACCUCCAACCUUCCUCUCCUGCAUGACUCCAAAUUUCAUCACUUCUCAGGUCUAAGAGGAAGGCUCUGAACAAAGCAUGAUGGUGUGGGAAAAAGUCACAGACUAGGACUCAGUUACCUGGUGUUUGCUUGGCAACUAACUGCAUGCCCUUGAGCAAGUGAUUCCACCUCCCAAGUCUUCAAUUUAUUCAAGUAAUCAAGUAAGAGGUUACAGUCCAUGAUUUAAUAACAGAAACAGUGACUGAAUUCUUACACCUAAAACUGAAAAAAUAUUGAGUUAAUAGCAAUUAAUAUUGUUGAAAUAGAGUAGAUGUCAAUUCCUCCUAUAUAAAUAAUGCCCUGCUUGCCUUUAUGAUACUUUUGUAGCAAUUACUUUACUGUAUGCAUGUUAAUCAAAAGAUCACACUGGGCGUUUGGGACUUCACCUCUGGCUUUGGUAUGAACCAGGUCUUAAAUAACCGUGUGACCUCAAUAGCUCACUUAUUUUUCUUACCUGAAAAACAAAGAAAAGAGAUCGAUUUCAUGGUCGCCAAAAUCUCUUUGUCUGUUAUCCCAUAAAUGAUGCCUAUGCUCAGCCUGGUGCCUUUGGGAAAGUCAAUGAAAGCAAACAUAAGAUGAUUAAGAGCUAAACUAUGUCUUUAGCAUGACACAGGUUUGCCUCAAACCUGGAAACUGGAACUCUUAGAAUUAAUAGCAGGAAAACAAGUUAUUGUAUAAUUGAUUUUUCCUUAAAGUAUGCAUUUUCAUUUAUCAAUUACCACG
Molecule: long non-coding RNA, 6561 nt
Filed under: Homo sapiens (human)
Lineage: Eukaryota; Metazoa; Chordata; Mammalia; Primates; Hominidae
Description: HSALNT0204295
Source: RNAcentral